This 427-nucleotide ribosomal RNA is filed under the name uncultured bacterium. RNAcentral's name for it is "partial 16S ribosomal RNA". It matches the Rfam family "Bacterial small subunit ribosomal RNA", at positions 355 to 774 of the family's 1533-position model. The record is from RNAcentral.
UGGGGAAUAUUGGACAAUGGGCGAAAGCCUGAUCCAGCCAUGCCGCGUGUGUGAAGAAGGUCUUCGGAUUGUAAAGCACUUUAAGUUGGGAGGAAGGGCAUUAACCUAAUACGUUAGUGUUUUGACGUUACCGACAGAAUAAGCACCGGCUAACUCUGUGCCAGCAGCCGCGGUAAUACAGAGGGUGCAAGAGUUAAUCGGAAUUACUGGGCGUAAAGCGCGCGUAGGUGGUUUGUUAAGUUGGAUGUGAAAGCCCCGGGCUCAACCUGGGAACUGCAUCCAAAACUGGCAAGCUAGAGUACGGUAGAGGGUGGUGGAAUUUCCUGUGUAGCGGUGAAAUGCGUAGAUAUAGGAAGGAACACCAGUGGCGAAGGCGACCACCUGGACUGAUACUGACACUGAGGUGCGAAAGCGUGGGGAGCAAACA